GCAGUGCGGGUGACGGCCGCUCAUACGGCAGAAGCCCAGGCCGAAGCCGGGCGGGAAGCGGGCGAGGGUGCAGUUGCGGCGGUGGCGGCGGCCUUGGCCCCCAGCGGCUUCCUCGGCCUCCCGGCGCCCUUCAGCGAGGAAGGGCUGGAGGAAAAGCCAGACGGGGCCCUGGCUGCCCAGCCUCCGCCUUCCCAGGCCCUGCUGACAGCAGGCUCGUUGCAGAUGAGGACGAUGUGCACAGAUGCGGCCGCUGCCAGGCAGAGUUCACCGCCUGGAGGAUUUUGUUCAGCACAAGAUUCAGAAGGCCUGCCAGCGGGCCCCUCCGGAGGCCCUGCCUGCCACCCCUGCCACCACAGUGUUGCUGGGCCAGGAGGUGGUGCCGGCAGCACCAGGCCCAGAGGAGCCCAUCACUGUGGCCCACAUCGUGGUGGAGGCGGCCUCCCUGGCAGCAGACAUCAGCCACGCAUCUGACCUCGUUGGUGGUGGGCACAUCAAAGAGGUCAUCGUGGCUGCUGAGGCGGAGCUGGGAGACGGUGAGAUGGCACAGGCCCCGGGCAGCCCCC
This 563-nucleotide long non-coding RNA is filed under the name Pan troglodytes (chimpanzee). RNAcentral's name for it is "long non-coding RNA NONPTRT005885". The record is from RNAcentral. Lineage: Eukaryota; Metazoa; Chordata; Mammalia; Primates; Hominidae.